This is a long non-coding RNA of Nothobranchius furzeri (turquoise killifish), 627 nucleotides long. RefSeq lists it as uncharacterized. The record is from RefSeq and is a predicted model, not a curated record. Lineage: Eukaryota; Metazoa; Chordata; Actinopteri; Cyprinodontiformes; Nothobranchiidae.
GAACGUAAUUUUUUUUAUAGUAUUUAGAAUGAAAUCUAAAUGUAUAAUGUGAAAUGUUACACUGGUAUGGCAUGGCAUGGCAUGGCAUGGUAUGGUGUGGUGUGGUGUGGUGUGGUGUGGUAUGGUAUGGUAUGGUAUGGUAUGGUAUGGUAUGUGCCGGGGUGAGUACUCCUCUCAUUUUCCCAUCUUUGAGUUGUGUGUUUCAGGAGAGGGAGGCUCCAGCUGCAGCUGAUUUGCAAUCAUCGGGUCUGGCUACAAAAGGAGGAUGAAGAACACUCCUCGACGCUGGAUGAUUACUACAGCUUGGUUUUGGAACGUUUUUGGACUUCUGUGACUUCUCUGGAUUACGUCUCUGGUUUUCUGCAACUCCUCAGCAUUACUCACCUGUGUCCCAUAGGAUUUCCGGACGCAGCUCUCACCGUUCUCCAUUCCUCCUGGCCGGCCCGCUCUCCUGCUCUCCUCUUGCUCCCUCUCCUGGACACUCCACUUGGAUUCACCCUGGCACCCAACCUACCCUCCCUCAUUCCUACACUCCCCUACUCCAACGCUGCACUCCCGUUCUCGAUCUCCACUGGGCUUUUCCAGUGCACCUUCAGUUCCCGUUUUAAAAUAAAGAUUCUUUUUUUU